GACGAACGCUGGCGGCGUGCCUAAUACAUGCAAGUAGAACGCUGAAGAGAGGAGCUUGCUCUUCUUGGAUGAGUUGCGAACGGGUGAGUAACGCGUAGGUAACCUGCCUUGUAGCGGGGGAUAACUAUUGGAAACGAUAGCUAAUACCGCAUAACAAUGGAUGACACAUGUCAUUUAUUUGAAAGGGGCAAUUGCUCCACUACAAGAUGGACCUGCGUUGUAUUAGCUAGUAGGUGAGGUAAUGGCUCACCUAGGCGACGAUACAUAGCCGACCUGAGAGGAUGAUCGGCCACACUGGGACUGAGACACGGCCCAGACUCCUACGGGAGGCAGCAGUAGGGAAUCUUCGGCAAUGGGGGCAACCCUGACCGAGCAACGCCGCGGGAGUGAAGAAGGUUUUCGGAUCGUAAAGCUCUGUUGUAAGUCAAGAACGGGUGUGAGAGUGGAAAGUUCACACUGUGACGGUAGCUUACCAGAAAGGGACGGCUAACUACGUG
RNAcentral lists this ribosomal RNA (497 nucleotides) under uncultured bacterium. RNAcentral's name for it is "partial 16S ribosomal RNA". It matches the Rfam family "Bacterial small subunit ribosomal RNA", at positions 28 to 507 of the family's 1533-position model. The record is from RNAcentral.